This 594-nucleotide long non-coding RNA is filed under the name Homo sapiens (human). Its description in RNAcentral is "non-protein coding LRRC2-AS1:9". Lineage: Eukaryota; Metazoa; Chordata; Mammalia; Primates; Hominidae. The record is from RNAcentral.
GUUGAAUUUGACAGCAAAGUGUCAUGGUUCCAAGACAGCAUCUGAUUCCGGUUCCCUGCUGUGGGUCUGGUUUUGUGUGGUUGUAGCAGAAUUAUGAGAACAAGCCUCCCUCAAUUUGGGCUACACUGUCCACAGUCACAGAGCAUCUUCCAGAGAAGAAAACACCUGCAAUGAUGAGACAGAAGGAGAACGGUGGCAUCUCUCACUGUAAAGGAAAGAACACUGGGGCCACAAAGUGUCAUCAGCCAUGUUCCUCUCCAGUCCAAGGACUCCCAGACACUUAGUGUUCCAGCUCCUGAGUGAAAAUGUUAACCAUCAGCACACUCUCAAAGAUCACUCACUCUAGGAAGUCAGCUGCCAUGUCAUGAUGAUGCUCAAGCAGCCUUGUGGAAAAGCUUCACAAGGAGAGGAACUGAGGCCUCCUGUCAACAGCCAUGAGAGGGGGCUGUCUUAAAAGCAGAUCCUCCAUCCCCAGUCAAGCCUUCAGAUGACGGCAGCCCCUGUGGACAUCUUGACCACAACUUCAUGAGACCCUAAGCCAGAAACACUCAGCUAAACUGCCCUGGAUUUCUGACUCUCAGAAACUGUGAGAUA